This 415-nucleotide ribosomal RNA is filed under the name uncultured bacterium. RNAcentral describes it as "bacterial SSU rRNA". It matches the Rfam family "Bacterial small subunit ribosomal RNA", at positions 340 to 749 of the family's 1533-position model. The record is from RNAcentral.
UACGGGAAGCAGCAGUGGGGAAUAUUGCACAAUGGGCGCAAGCCUGAUGCAGCCAUGCCGCGUGUAUGAAGAAGGCCUUCGGGUUGUAAAGUACUUUCAGUCGUGAGGAAGGUGUUAAGGUUAAUAACCUUAGCAAUUGACGUUAGCGACAGAAGAAGCACCGGCUAACUCCGUGCCAGCAGCCGCGGUAAUACGGAGGGUGCGAGCGUUAAUCGGAAUUACUGGGCGUAAAGGGCACGCAGGCGGUUAAUUAAGUUGGAUGUGAAAUCCCCGGGCUUAACCUGGGAAUGGCAUUCAAGACUGGUUAGCUAGAGUCUUGUAGAGGGGGUAGAAUUCCAUGUGUAGCGGUGAAAUGCGUAGAGAUGUGGAGGAAUACCGGUGGCGAAGGCGGCCCCUGGACAAAGACUGACGCUCA